ACGGCUGUUGGGGAUCCAAAUCAAGUACCAGUUCUUGAUUUCUCAGGCGAUAUUCCGAGUAUACAAGCACUGAUCUACCUCAUCACUCGGAAGUCAUUUCACUCCAAAUUACCUAAGAUUGAUGGACUGGGAUCUAUUGAUAUCAUUUUAGACCACCUGAAGGAGUAUCUAAUCCUCUAUUCAGACUCACUUUCUUCUAUAAAGAGCCAACUUUGGACAAUUCAGCAGCAAUUGGAGCACUUUCAGAAGCAUCACAAUGGAUCGUUCCAGUAUUUUUCAAUGCAGGCGAUUGCUAUAGCAUAUGAGGUGUAUCAUUUGGUUGUCA
Molecule: unclassified non-coding RNA, 325 nt
Filed under: Hevea brasiliensis (rubber tree)
Lineage: Eukaryota; Viridiplantae; Streptophyta; Magnoliopsida; Malpighiales; Euphorbiaceae
Source: RNAcentral